This 435-nucleotide ribosomal RNA is filed under the name Triticum aestivum (bread wheat). RNAcentral describes it as "partial small subunit ribosomal RNA". The record is from RNAcentral. Lineage: Eukaryota; Viridiplantae; Streptophyta; Magnoliopsida; Poales; Poaceae.
AUGGUUUAUGUCGAAUGCCUUGUGCACGAGGAUGAUGAAAUCGGGCGGCUGCUCGUUGGAGCAAAGAUGAUAGUCGCGCCGGCAAACCGGUUGAAAAGUGCAUGCGCGGCCAUCUUCAGACGGUUGAUCCCAAAGCAUGUGCUCCUGGGCAUCACACGACGAAGUAGAGCUCUUUUAUGCGCGCGGCUCGCGCCGGAGCUCCUGCUGGCGUCGACGGAGUACAACGCGCGGGUGGGCACGUGGGCGCUCGGGUGCAUCAUGGCCGAGCUCCUCGCCGGCGCGCCGCUGCUGCCCGGGAGGUCGGAGAUGGACCAGCUGAACAGGGUGUUCGACACGGUCGGGACUGACGAUAUGACGGGCUGGCCCGGCUUCUGCCGGCUCGCCGCUCUGCCAGCGCAGCAGGCCGCCCAGCCGGCUCUUGGAGAUGUUCCCUGA